Molecule: ribosomal RNA, 478 nt
Filed under: uncultured bacterium
Lineage: Bacteria
Description: partial 16S ribosomal RNA
Rfam family: Bacterial small subunit ribosomal RNA
Source: RNAcentral
GACGAACGCUGGCGGCGUGCUUAACACAUGCAAGUCGAACGGUAAGGCCCUUCGGGGUACACGAGUGGCAAACGGGUGAGUAACACGUGGGUGAUCUGCCCUGCACUUCGGGAUAGGCCUGGGAAACUGGGUCUAAUACCGGAUAGGACCACUGCCUGCAUGGGUGGUGGUGGAAAGCUUUUGCGGUGUGGGAUGGGCCCGCGGCUUAUCAGCUUGUUGGUGGGGUGAUGGCCUACCAAGGCGACGACGGGUAGCCGGCCUGAGAGGGUGACCGGCCACACUGGGACUGAGAUACGGCCCAGACGCCUACGGGAGGCAGCAGUGGGGAAUAUUGCACAAUGGGCGCAAGCCUGAUGCAGCGACGCCGCGUGAGGGAUGACGGCCUUCGGGUUGUAAACCUCUUUCAGCACCGACGAAGCGCAAGUGACGGUAGGUGCAGAAGAAGGACCGGCCAACUACGUGCCAGCCGCCGCCGUAA